CAGUAGCCGCGGGAAUACGUAGGGUGCGAGCGUUAAUCGGAAUUACUGGGCGCAAAGCGAGCGCAGACGGUUACUUAAGCAGGAUGUGAAAUCCCCGGGCUCAACCUGGGAACUGCGUUCUGAACUGGGUGACUAGAGUGUAUCAGAGGGAGGUAGAAUUCCACGUGUAGCAGUGAAAUGCGUAGAGAUGUGGAGGAAUACCGAUGGCGAAGGCAGCCUCCUGGGAUAACACUGACGUUCAUGCUCGAAAGCGUGGGUAGCAAACAGGAUUAGAUACCCCCGUAGUCCCUGUCUCUUAUAC
RNAcentral lists this ribosomal RNA (301 nucleotides) under uncultured bacterium. RNAcentral's name for it is "partial 16S ribosomal RNA". It matches the Rfam family "Bacterial small subunit ribosomal RNA", at positions 509 to 807 of the family's 1533-position model. The record is from RNAcentral.